RNAcentral lists this long non-coding RNA (5057 nucleotides) under Homo sapiens (human). RNAcentral's name for it is "HSALNT0084062". The record is from RNAcentral. Lineage: Eukaryota; Metazoa; Chordata; Mammalia; Primates; Hominidae.
UUUUAGACAUGGAAAGGUUUUUUCCUUCCUUUCCGGAUCACCCACAGAAAAGCAUUUUCAGUUGAGAAUUAGGAGCAGCCAGUGAGUGGGGCUUUCUCUGAUGGUUGAGAUGGAAGGUUUGACCUUUCCAGGGGAGCUUUAUGUGGCCCAGUGGUGCCCUCUGCUGAUAACUGGGUCGUGGCUUACUUAAUUCAUACAUUCUUUCACUCCGUCACUAAUUUGCAAAAAGCUAUUGAGCACUUAUCUGUGCUAGAGAUGGUGAUUCCUACGCUGUGGGUACUAAGAGAACCAGAAAUGCUCCCUCUCCGUCCACGGAGCCAACCGGCUACGGCAGGAGGAGAUGUGACACACUGGCGUCUGAAUCAUAAGAAAGCCUGGCCCUGCCAGGCUUUGAAAACCUGCACAAUACCUUUGAAAUGAACUCCAAACGUGAGUCUAUGCUUUCCAUUCUUAAUACACUGAGAAUAAAUAUUGCCUGUGAGCGAGCUUACUUCAUUUUCACUGUUAUCUCCUUCAGAAAUGCUGUGUGCCUGUGUUCAACUUUUUAAAAUUAAUAUUCAUAAACCUCAUUCAUUCAAAUGCAUGAGGGGAGAAACAGAACAGAUAUGAUGUAUUUUUUGACCUCAAAGAGCAUACAAUCUGGGAGGAAGGAUAUCCUUAAUUUGAAGGAAACCACUAGAAAAACAUACAUGCUAAAGUGGAGCACGAGACAUUUAUAUCAAAGAGCGGUGAGGAGGUGGAAGAAGUGGGCAGUGCAUAGGGUGAAGUAAGUCAGGAAAAAACGUCUUGGAGGUGGAACAUUGCUCUCUGAAAAGAAAUGAACGUGACAGUAGACAAGGCUAUGGAAGCUUCAGAUCCUGGGAGGGGCUAGUCUUGGAGGUAGCAGAGCCCUGCUCACUGGAAGGGGUGUGCCUGGCUACACAGGCCCCUUUUGGCUCACAGCAGCGCAUCUGUGGAAACCCAGGUUACCACUGUCUGUGCCUCAUCAAAGUCUGCCUGCUGCUUGGCGACAUCACGCUCCAGACCUGUCUCUAGGAGCCGUGUGACUGAAGGUCAAGGGUGUCUCCAGGGAGCUCUCACCUGCCUGGUUCGCCCCUGCCCUGCCCUCUGAUUGGUUAUCCACACACCCACAAAGUUGUUUCACUCUCUGCUCUAAAACAGUACAGGAUUUCUGGUGGCAAGGGAUGCAGCCUUCAUUACCACCCCCCAACCCGCACCCCAACACAAAGCAGAGGAUACAAAACAAAUGGAGGCUUCAUAUGUUCUGGCAGCAAGUCCUCGCCCAGAAAUCUGGAGAUGCAAAUAAAGGCCCCCUCGAACAAAACUCGCUAAACGUGCUGAGUGGCCACGAGCCCAUCCAAGAUAAAACUAAACUAGAAAACAUCUAAAGGCAUGGAAGAGGAGAAGGAAGCCAGGCUCUCAGCCCUGGCUGUGGAGGAGCUCCGCUCCGAAGGGCGAGGUCUGUCCACCAGGGAACAGGGGAGCCUGGUCUCUGGAGCGUGGAAACCACACCUGCCACCUUCCCCCGCGCACCAUGGUGGAUGCUACAGACAACAAAAGACUAGCUUUAUUAUUAUCUCCUGGGAAAACCCCGAUUACUUCGCUCUAUGACAUCCCCACUGAGAACUGCCACCAGCUCUACAGGUGAUCAGUUCUCACAUUAGGACUCAAAUGGAAGAAGGCUUUCCCCAAAAGUUGUCAAAAUUUAAUAUUCAAACUCGUAUAGCUAUCUGCAUCCGAUUCAUCUCACAAAGAAUCUUCUCCACAACCCAGGGUCUCUACAAGAAGCCAACAACUUGCAUGUGCUUAGAAAUCUCUGAGCAACCAGGGGUUCGUGUGUGCAUCCCUGGACACCGGGACUGCCUUCGUGAUGCUGUAAAUGGGCCCCGUCGUCCCAACUGCUAAGGUGCUUGGGAGCAGCCUGCGGAGAGGGAAGCACUGAGAGAGGCUGCCUCUACAAAGCAAGAGAGGAAUGUACCAUCUCACAACAGUCUUACAGUCUUACAAGAGAAAAAGAAAAGGAAAGCCAGAUGCACUGACUCAUGCCUGUAAUCCCAGCACUUUGAGAGGCUGAACGGGAGCAUGACCUGAGGUCAGGAGUUCAAGACCAACCUGGCCAACAUGAUGAAACCCCGUCUCUACUAAAAGUACGAAAAUUAGCUGGGUGUACAAAAUUACAAAAUUUAGUACAAAAAUUCACCUGCAGGAGAAUCACUUGAACCUGGGAGGCAGAGGUUGCAGUGAGCCGAGACUGCACCAUUGCACUCCAGCCUGUGUAAAAAGAGUAAAAUUCCACCUCAAAAAAAAAAAAAAAGGAAAAAAGGAACAGAAAAAAAAAAAGGAAGACAAAGCUAAGGAAGACCACGAUAAAGAAAAUAAAGGAGAAGAGAUGACUAUGAUGACCGUUCGCACAACUGUCAGAUGCAGGUCAUGGUGGUUAAAUGCAACAAAGCCCAGAGAUGUCUUGCCUGCCUUUCCUACCUUUACUAAUCAUCAAAUAUAUCCACAACCAGUUGCUCUUCAUCAGGAUUUGCUGGGUGCUAAGACUGAAUGCUUAUGUCCCCCUCACAAUUAAGGGAUUGAGUGUUCUUACAAAAGAGACUCCAGAGAGAUCCUGUGUCCCUUUCACCAGCAUGCUCCUCCACCUGUCUGCAUGUCGGUUGCUGCGUCCAUAUAAAGUGCUGCAGGGAUAUUUCGAGAAGCUAAUAAGACAAGUCAAUGUGCAAAUACCUUGCAAGUAUCUAAAAUGAAAAAUGUGAGCUCUUCUUCCCCAAGCAAAGAAAAGACCCAAAUAAAAAAUAACACAUAUGUAGAGGUUAUCUAUGAUAUUUUAGAUUUUAUGAGCUCUCUAUAAAUGAACAUUUGUUUCCUUUGUUCCUGAAAUGAAACCAUUACCUGUUUUUCUUGUUUGCCUUUUCCAGCCUAUCUGCCAAAAGUUAUUUUAUUUUACAAAAUGUCUUCCUAAAUUAUCCAAUCCUUUUCCUUCUGAACAUUUAAAACCAUUCAAAAAACCCAAAGUACAUUUUGAUCUAAGCAAUUAAGUUUCUUUACAUCAGUAAUCCCAAUGUCAUGUUGCGAACGUCAUUCUAGAAAAUGUCCCACAGCAAGUUUUUAAUGGCCUGUAAGCAGAGGCUUUAAAAUAAGGACAUUUUUAAAUGCUGGGUCAGGAAUAACUUCAGUGAGGCUCCAGCCCCCUGCCGCGACCUUUCUGCUGACAUGUCUCUGUUGACGCCAAUAUGGAAAUCCACUUGUUUCCAGGCUUUCUCUCUUCAUACCUCAUUAGGAUUCUGCACUGUUACAAAGUAAAACCACUGCCAGGACCAUGAAAUAUGAGGCAAUGGAAUACUCUAAAAUCCCACACCAUUCUUCAUUUACUGUCUUUCCAUCAAGUCACCAAACCAAAACUAUCAAAUUGAUUGUACAAGGCAAGAGAUAUGACAGAGUUAGAUGCCCAGAACAUUUUUUGCAAUCCUUCUUUUCUGGCGGGGUGGAGAUCUGAAAAUGUAUCCCUUCUAGGUUUCUGUAAGUAAUCAGAAGAACUGCAAAUUAUACUUUUGUUUUUGCCAAACUUUUAAGCUUGACAUGAUUGAAACUUCUAGAUUCCUCUAGUUUUCUCCUCUAAAAGCAACACUUCCAGCUAGGUUUAGCUGCUUCGCUGGAGAGCAUGCUGCAAUGUACCCAGCUUACCAUGAUGUCCCAGACAUGCUUUAAUAUACAGCUAGCAUAAGCAUGCCUAUUUUACUAAGGAUUUUCAUUUAAUUUUGUCCUUCUAUAAAACUAUCUAACCUUGGACAGUAUUACAGAUGACUCCUGGUCAUGUGAGUAGGCCAGGGAUUAGGGAUUUGGAUAUGAGGUGCUCCUUAGGAUUUCCCUGCCAAAGCAUUCCCUGCUGGUGUGUUCCAAUCACAAAAGAUAGCAGUGCUGUUGGAAAAGGCGGUGGCAUUUUUGCCAUCCAGGAUCCAGAUGCUUUCUUCGCUCCUGGGAUGGUAGCAAAAAAAACCUCAAAUCUUCAAAGUGAAUACCAGCAUUGAUCUUUAAGUUCAGUGAUGGAAUUACUCUCAGAGGCUUCCAUAACUAAAUUGAAAUCUCCCCAAUUCAAAAUUUCAAAAUAGAGUUUUCUUCUUACCUUCUGUUUUUGUCUGAAUGCAGUUCCGUCUCUCUCUCUGCACCAUAACAAAUCUCGGAAUUGGCUUCCCCAAUUUCCACCAAUCACCCAGCACUGGAAAGUCUAGUCUGUGCCCCCACCGGACCACAGUGACCACCACCGUGUGGCUAAGCCAACCUCUGCUCCACGUGGGGGCCCCUCUGGCCACGCCAGGACCUUUCAUCUCAACCACCCACCAAAGCAAGUGUCAACAUCUCCUUACAGAUUUGCAUCAGAAAUGUUAAGAAAUGUUACUACAGGCAGCAGAAGAGCCACUCCUUACCUCCUGUUAAAACAUUAUAAAAAGGAAAUGUGUGAGGAAGAAGAGCAUAGGUUUGUGUACUAAAUCUCAGAAGAGCAGCUUUUCAAAACUCUGUCAGGCCUGGGAGACAAAGGAAAUAUAUCUUGACCUCACAGAGAGCAUUCAGGUGGAAAAAAGUAAUUUUUUUAACUUGAAAUUUACAUUUAACUAAAAUGAAUUUGUCUCACAAUGAAGAAAGACUAAAUAAAUCAUGGUAUAGCCUAAGUGGAAAAUGGUUCCACUGUUAGAAAUCCGCAUUGAUAAAAGCCAUUCACUAACGUCGGUGAGGCAGGAGAACAGUGGCUGGAGGGAGAGAACAUAAGGCCGAUUCACGCUGAUUUCCUAGAACUAAAUCAAAUGGAAACACUUCAGUGAUGACAGGUAAUACCCUCUCCAUUUACAUAGGGCAUACACAGAGUAAAUGACUUUGUAACUUAACUUCAUGCUCUUCAUUACACAGGGCAUACACCAAUAUAAACCAAUGGAAGUAACCAAUGGAAACCUCUAGAGGGUAUUUAAACCCCAGAAAAUUCUGUAACUGGGCUCUUGAGCCCGUGUGCUAGGACCACUCCCACCCUGUGGAGUGUACUUUCAUUUUCAAUAAAUCUCUGA